This 408-nucleotide ribosomal RNA is filed under the name uncultured bacterium. Its description in RNAcentral is "bacterial SSU rRNA". It matches the Rfam family "Bacterial small subunit ribosomal RNA", at positions 28 to 433 of the family's 1533-position model. The record is from RNAcentral.
GACGAACGCUGGCGGCGUGCCUAACACAUGCAAGUCGAACGGGGUGAUUUCCUUCGGGAGAUCACUUAGUGGCGAACGGGUGAGUAACGCGUGAGAAACCUGCCUUUCAGUGGGGGACAACAGUUGGAAACGACUGCUAAUACCGCAUAAUGUAUAUUUGGGGCAUCCCUUUUAUACCAAAGCUUUAUGUGCUGAAAGAUGGUCUCGCGUCUGAUUAGCUAGAUGGCGGGGUAACGGCCCACCAUGGCGACGAUCAGUAGCCGGUCUGAGAGGAUGAACGGCCACAUUGGGACUGAGAAACGGUCCAGACUCCUACGGGAGGCAGCAGUGGGGAAUAUUGGGCAAUGGGGGAAACCCUGACCCAGCAACGCCGCGUGAAGGAAGAAGGCCUUCGGGUUGGUAAACGUU